CGCCCUUUCCCCCCCCCCCCCCAGGCGGGGGGGAGGCCCCCCCCACUUUCAUUCUGUGUAUCUUUAUACUCCUCACUUGGAUAAACUGGUGGGUAUUUCUUAGAACCUAUAACUUGGCCCCAAAGCUUCCGAAUUUUUUGACGAGCCGCAUUCUAUUAAGAUUAAAAACCAAUCCGGGUUUUCCGCCCGUUUUGUUGGUGACUCUGAAUAACUAAUGGCUGAUUCGCAUGGUCUAGAACCGGCGACGUGUCUAUCAAGUGUCUGCCUUAUCAACUGUCGAUGGUAGUUUAUGUGCCUACCAUGGUUGUAACGGGUAACGGAGAAUAAGGGUUCGACUCCGGAGAGGGAGCCUGAGAAACGGCUACCACAUCCAAGGAAGGCAGCAGGCGCGCAAAUUACCCACUCUCGGCAUGAGGAGGUAGUGACGAAAAAUAACGAGACCGUUCUCUAUGAGGCCGGUUAUCGGAAUGGGUACAAUUUAAACCCGUUAACGAGGAUCUAUGAGAGGGCAAGUCUGGUGCCAGCAGCCGCGGUAAUUCCAGCUCUCAAAGUGUAUAUCGUCAUUGCUGCGGUUAAAAAGCUCGUAGUUGGAUCUGCGCCUCAGGACUUGGUCCGCCCACUGGGUGAGAACUGGGCUCCUGGGCUAGUUCUGCUGGUUUUCCCUACGUUGCCUUCAUCGGUAGCGUAGGGUGGCUAGCGAGUUUACUUUGAAAAAAUUAGAGUGCUUCACGCGGGCUUAUGUCUGAAUACUCGUGCAUGGAAUAAUAGAAUAGGAUCUCGGCUCUAUUUUGUUGGUUUUCUGAUCUGAGAUAAUGGUUAAGAGGGACGGACGGGGGCUUUCGUAUCGCUGCGUGAAAGGUGAAAUUCUUGGACCGUAGCGAGACGUCCGACUGCGAAAGCAUUUGCCCAAGAAAUGUCUCCUAUCAUCACGAAUCGAAGUCCGAAAAAUCCCCCACCACACACACAAAAAA
This 971-nucleotide ribosomal RNA is filed under the name Iheringascaris sp. n. 24 NJ-2013. RNAcentral describes it as "partial 18S ribosomal RNA". It matches the Rfam family "Eukaryotic small subunit ribosomal RNA", at positions 174 to 1036 of the family's 1831-position model. Lineage: Eukaryota; Metazoa; Nematoda; Chromadorea; Rhabditida; Raphidascarididae. The record is from RNAcentral.